GCCUCAGCCCCGCCCCGCUUGGCGCCGGCCGACCAAGAAGAGCUUCGUCCCGCCGAGCCUGGCCGCGAGCGGGCGCCGCUGCGCGUGCCGCCGGGUCGGAGGCCGCGACCUCUGUGGCGGCGGGUGGGCGAGCUCGGAUAUGGGCCUGUUCCUGUGGCAGCGCGCUGCACCCGCGCCUUGUCCCGCUCUGCUCUUAGAGCUUCUCGGCCCCCAAAAGUUUCUAGAGUUAAGAGAAUCCGUAUCUGGGAAAGUUCUUGACGUUCAGAUGCCCGCUUGGGGCCUUGCAAGUGCUGCUGGCAAUCCUGCCCUACUGUAUGUCCCUGUCCCCCUAUCGUGCCCAUGUUGAGUAUGCUGCAAAUGCGGAUGUGGAAACAGCUACGAAAUGCUGGUCCCCAAAGUGGCUAGGGGAAGUGCUACAGGUAGUAGUAGCAGAGGGACAGACUGACGCUUGCUGACAGUAUGAAAUCAGAGGAAAGUGUUUGCAGGCACCUUCUGCAUAAAUGGUGAAGGCAUUUCUGCACUCUUCUUGAUGAUAAAGUAGUGGUUCAAACAUGGAGGUAUUCACAAAGCAUUAAAGGCAUGUUAUAUAAGCUGUUAUAAUGUUCAGGAGUUUUGAUUAUUAACUAAAUGAACAUUUUCUGCUACCCUUUCUAGAACUAAUAAAUUUAGGACUUCAUUCUGGGAAACUUAAGUUGGGUGUACAGUACAGGAGAAAUAUAAACCUGCUGGAGGAGGAGGGCCGCACACAUGAUCCAGGGGGUGGAACACCUCUCCUAUGAGGGCAGGCUGAGGGAACUGGGGCUGUUCAACCUGGAGAACUGGAGACUCCAGGGAGACCUCAUAGCAGCCUUCUAAAGGGGGACUAUAAGAAGGAAGGAAACAGACUUGUUAGCAAGGUCUGUUGUGAUAAGACAAGGGGAAAUGGGUUCAAACUAAAACAGGAGAUUUAGACUGGCUAUAAGGAAAAGGUGUUUUACAGUUAGAACAGUGAAACGCUGGUACAGGUUGCCCAGACGGGUGGAUGCCCCGUCCCUGGAGACAUUCAAAGUCAGGCUGGACAGAGCACUGAACAACCUGCUGUAGCUGUAGGUGUACCUGUCCAUUGCAGGGGAGUUGGACCAGGUGACCUUUAGGGUCCUUUCCAGCUCAGAUUAUUCUGUGGUGUACAUUAGGCAGCUGCUGCAGCAUAGCAUACUGAGAAGGCUGACUCUCUGUGGCACCUCUGCCUAAUGGAAGUGUAAACCUACACAAAACAAAACAUAUGUGUGUGCAUGUCAUUCUGCUGUAGGACAUCACUGGUGAACAUACUGCAUAGUACGGAGGUGGCUGUGCCAGCAAUAUCAGCUGCAGAGGGGGGUUCAGAGGAUGGCUUAUGGGACGCCUUGCACAGGCAGCUCAGGAAUGCAUCUGACCUCUCACUGUGGUCAGCAGCAUUUAUGUGUGUAGUUUUAGUGCUAUUAGUAAUAUUUUGUUAAAAAUUUCUGCCUACUGAAUCAUACUGACAAAAAAGUUUAACAGUAAUCCAGCAGCAUGGCUGUGCACUUUUCUUCCAGAAUAAGGAAUUGUAAGGAGACCACUACAGUGAUGUAGUUAUGCCAACAAAUCUCUCCAGGUAGAGAAGAAUUUGGGCUUGUUUAGCCCAUCUAGCACUGACCACCUCAAAUGUAACUCUUGGCAGAUGAACAACAAACAAAAUGCUGGCAAUACUUUUAAAAGAAACCAAUUCAUAGAGACUGUGUUUGUUUCAAAAUAUAUUCAUUUGUGGAAAUUAUAUUGGUUCAUAAUAAAACUAAGAUUCAGGUCGGUCCUGGUCUCUCAUCCUGUAUUAAAAAUAUGCGCCAUGGGCUGAAGAUAAAUCGUUCCUUCGCUUCCAUGUUUCUUUUCUCCUUGGGACUGCAACUGUCUAUACCACAAGCAGAUGUCUAGAGGAGAUCGCUAGGUAGGAAACUCUCUCUGUAGCCUGAAAUUAUAUUUUCAGGGAAGAGAAAAUACAAAACAUUAAGCCUUGUGGUUCAAUUAGGCCUUCAGCAUCCAGGAUUUCAAAACUAUUUAGGCUUUAGCCAUCCCUCAGGGCUGCUGCUUGUAUCUGCCAGGGAUCAGCAGCAAGGCAAUGCCCCCACUAUCUGGUCCCACGCUUUGGAGGGAAAAGAGAGAAGACGAAAUGAAGCUAAAGCUCAGGUCUCACUUUAGAUGAGGAUGGAAGAUGAACUCUUCUGUGAUACUGUGAAGGAUGGUGGCUCUGCUUUCUUAUUCAGGAUCUCAGUUAUGACUGGCUAAAAAUGCUGCUGUCCUUCCAAGCAAAAGCUAAGACCCAAAUAAAGCUAAAGACUGUCCCAAAUACUUCAUUUUUAGAUCAUACCAAGGCAAGAUUUGAAGGCCUUUGUGUUCUAGUAGUCGUGAAGUUCACCCAUUCAUAUAAGCAAUUUAAGAGUAAAGUCAUCUGGGCUGGGAUAUUUACUGCACGCUUCAGCUCAGGAGAAAGUCCAGUGCCAACUGCAAAACUUCUUGUGCAUAGGACUCACGGGAGAGGACAGAGCUGGGAAGCUGAGUCACUGAGGUAAGGUGUAUUUUUGUACCUGGGGCUCUGCUGGCACCUGAGCUAACUGCUCUCCUGUACUCAUUACUGCUCUGUUGGAGGUUGCUAUGAGUUAGCUGAGCUGUUCAUCAUCUGGCAAAGAACUGCUGCUUGAAGUAAUUAACUGGCCUUGUCUGAAAUGAAGUAGGAAGCCAGGCCUGUAGAUCUGAGAAGGCAUGAGGGGUAGCAGUACCCCCUGUUGGGGUAUGUAAGUUGGUAGCAGUAAUCCCUUCAACAGUGCAAGCACAACCAGAAGAUACCCAACCACACCUUGAGUGAUAAAGAGUCUGCAGAAUACUUCUUUAUAUCUGUGUGCAUCGAUUAGGACUAUACACUCCCAUAUAGCCAACUUCAGGUUUGCCUUAUCAAUGCCAUGAAACUACAUUACAAGAAGAGCUACAGAGGCCUCAGUUUAGACACUACAGGACUGGGAGGGAUAUAGCACAGCUUUCAGCUUCAGCAUUCAAGACUUAAAUGCAGACACAGGCUUCCAAGUCUUUUCAGUCUUCCUGUGGCACUGCAGUCAAGCAUGUCAUCAUGCCUCGGUUCCUUAGUCUGUAAAAGGGGAGCAGUUUUUAAGCACCACAUAAGGACGUGGUGAAGGUAAAUUAAUUACUGCAGGUAAAGAGGGUUGCAUUCUCUGAAGGCAGGUGUUAAACAAAAGUAAAGAUUUAUUACUCAAAGAAGAUGAUAGGUCCAUUUGAACUUAGUUCAGGAGACUGCAGUAUUUAUGGAUUAGUAGCUUUGGCAGGGGGAGAGAUUGGGCUGGUGACCUCAGAGAAGUAAAGUAUGGGAAGAUGUGUGUGAAGGCAUUCAUGCUGGAGCUAACAUUAUUGUAAAUCUUGAUCCUUUAAUAAAGCUGUGACCUUGGAGUUGACAACUGUUAUGCCAUGGAGCAAUAUAUAGCACGGCACCAACAUGGUAAAUCUUAGGUAGUUUUUGGCAUUGACAUCGACAACAUGUAAAAAGAAACCAGGCAGUUGAACAUCAUGAAACACAUUUAUUUGACGGAAAGCAUUUUAAAUCAAACAUUUUAGAUGAAAUCAAUGGCCCUGCCAACUUUUUAUUCCUCAUGAUGAAAAGUGUUUGUGAAAUGAAAUCUCAAAGGUGAAAACUUGUAGAAUUGCUCAUCAAAUUUUUCUAUGGGCAACUGUCGCUGAAAAAGUAUAUUUUAGAUCAUUUUUGCACAGCUGUUGUACAACUUCCUAUAACUACUUUUUGUACAACAGCUGCUUUGUACAACUAUUAUUUUGAUGGCUUUCCUGACUGCUGCUGAUGCAAGAAGAGUGCAUCUCCUCUUCGGUGUGCAAUGGGCAGCUACCUGGAGUUCUGCUGGAGCCAUUGGAGACACAUAGGCAUAAGAGGAAAGAGAAAACUGUAUAGCUACACAGUGAUCAGGAGGUGCCAUGUGGGAGGGGAUGGACAUUCUUUGCUUUUGCCAGGUGUAUCUGUACUACCUACAGAGAAUACUUGCAGGCACUGACAGAACUAAAAAGAACUCUCCAUCAGUGCUAACUUAAUUCCUAUAUACAAAAAGUUCUCAGUGUUUAUUUCUUUAUUUAUUUUUAGGUGUGCAGGAAACCAGAAGUCCAAUAAUUUGGAUCAGUUUAUUUGGUUGCUUUGCUUCUAGGACAAAAAUUUGUUUAAUUACUCAAAUGUUCCCACAAAUAAAUAGAAAAAAAUAGCAAGUGAAUAUUAUUUCACUUUUUGCUUUUUUUUUUUUUUUUUAAGAUGUAUUUCACUUACAAACCUCACUAACUCUGAGCCCCAUCUUGCAUACACUGUAAAUGGAAACUCAUGCUUUCUUACGGGGUCAAUAAUACUGCUCUUGCCAGCAGGUAGCAUGCCUGAUACUGCUUUUCCUUUUUUUCUUUUGUUCCAAUUUGUUAGUGCUUUGUCACCUGCCUUUGGCACUACAUUUUCAUUAUGGAUAUUCAAAAGGCCAGCAUGCUCCUGGAAUGGAGCUGCAAUCUAAUGGGAGAGGAUGCUAUAAAAACCAUUUAUUUAUUUGUAUACUGGUUUAUCAGAGUUCAUGACCUUUGUUUUUUGUAAAGAAACUGACAAUAUUUGCUUUUAUCCUUACAGAAAAAAAUAUGGGAGAUUUAAAUUAAAUUUCAAUUUAAUUUAAAAGUUGCUUUAAAACUAGAACAAUGCUUAAGGAAAAAAAAAGUCUAAUCAGGUUGUCAACACCCCAUUUUAUUGUCCAUAUUUGCCUACAGACCACAUACUUCUGCUGUUAUUCAGUACUCCUUAUGUCCUGCUUACAGGAUUCACGUGCACAUACUUUGAGAAUUACCUGUCUGGAACUUUUACAAUAAUAACUUCUGCAAUGAUGUUUAUGCCUCCAAAAGAAAAGAAAAGGGUAUUUUAUUGAAUAUUAAGAUACUAAUUAAUGUGUUAAUAGAUUUUACUUUGAUUACUCGAGCUACUGGGCAACAAAAUACUGUUUAACAAAGUUUACUGUUUAACUUUCUACUCCUUAGGAGUAAACACUGCAGCACAGAACAAGAUAAAUCAUUAUGCAACAUAAAGUAAAUGAGAAUGUCAAAUGCAGAAGCAUUAAUUAACUGAUUAUGCAAAAAACAAGCAACGUUAAUGCUAUUUAUUAAAGAGUCCAAUUUGUUGAUGGAUGGUAUAUUACUGUGUAUAUAAAUAAAUAUUAAUGAGUCAAUAAAGUGCUAUUGUAUAUAGUUCUGUU
This is a long non-coding RNA of Gallus gallus (chicken), 5273 nucleotides long. RefSeq lists it as uncharacterized. Lineage: Eukaryota; Metazoa; Chordata; Aves; Galliformes; Phasianidae. The record is from RefSeq and is a predicted model, not a curated record. The transcript is spliced from 2 exons.